Molecule: long non-coding RNA, 290 nt
Filed under: Sus scrofa (pig)
Lineage: Eukaryota; Metazoa; Chordata; Mammalia; Artiodactyla; Suidae
Description: lncRNA (ENSSSCG00070016644.1)
Source: RNAcentral
GAAUAUUCCCCAAUUCUCAGGGUUGAUUUUGUUGGAUGCUCCUCCUAUGAAUAUGUUGCUUAAUUUGGUGGGAGUUUUACAGCAUUCCAGAGAAUUGUCAUGCUUCUGAGGACAGUAGAAUGAUUCUUACUGCUUUCAGUAUUUUGACUUGAGUAAAAAGAAGUUGAGAUUCCAUUCCAUCUUUUCUACCACAAUGGCUACUAUUUCCCAGAUCUUGAAACUAAUCCUUACUCUGCAGGUGCAGAACUUCAGAUUUACUUGUGAUUGACAUUUGCAUAUGCUGUGAGGUA